CCUACGGGAGGCCGCAGUGAGGAAUAUUGGUCAAUGGACGAGAGUCUGAACCAGCCAAGUAGCGUGAGGGAUGACUGCCCUAUGGGUUGUAAACUUCUUUUAUAUGGGAAUAAAAUGUUCCACGUGUGGGAUUUUGUAUGUACCAUAUGAAUAAGGAUCGGCUAACUCCGUGCCAGCAGCCGCGGUAAUACGGAGGAUCCGAGCGUUAUCCGGAUUUAUUGGGUUUAAAGGGAGCGUAGGUGGAUUGUUAAGUCAGUUGUGAAAGUUUGCGGCUCAACCGUAAAAUUGCAGUUGAAACUGGCAGUCUUGAGUACAGUAGAGGUGGGCGGAAUUCGUGGUGUAGCGGUGAAAUGCUUAGAUAUCACGAAGAACUCCGAUUGCGAAGGCAGUUCACUGGACUGCAACUGACACUGAGGCUCGAAAGUGUGGGUAUCAAACAGGAUUAGAUACCCGGGUAGUC
RNAcentral lists this ribosomal RNA (460 nucleotides) under uncultured bacterium. Its description in RNAcentral is "partial 16S ribosomal RNA". It matches the Rfam family "Bacterial small subunit ribosomal RNA", at positions 338 to 795 of the family's 1533-position model. The record is from RNAcentral.